This 54-nucleotide microRNA precursor is filed under the name Pan paniscus (pygmy chimpanzee). Its description in RNAcentral is "microRNA ppa-mir-549 precursor (ppa-mir-549-2)". Its record names the gene ppa-mir-549-2. RNAcentral also lists the same sequence under 1 other name. The record is from miRBase by way of RNAcentral. Lineage: Eukaryota; Metazoa; Chordata; Mammalia; Primates; Hominidae.
AGCUCAUCCAUAGUUGUCACUGAUCUGAGACAGUGACAACUAUGGAUGAGCUCU